UCUCCGUUGGUGAACCAGCGGAGGGAUCAUUACAGAGUUGCAAAACUCCCAAACCAUUGUGAACGUUACCUAUCCCGUUGCUUCGGCGGGCGGCCCGGGCCCCGCGCCCGGCGCCCCCCGGCCCCCCGUGGGCGCCCGCCGGAGGUAAACCAAACCCUUGAAUUGCAUGGCCUCUCUGAGUCUUCUGUACUGAAUAGGUCAAAACUUUCAACAACGGAUCUCUUGGUUCUG
This 231-nucleotide unclassified non-coding RNA is filed under the name plant metagenome. Its description in RNAcentral is "partial contains small subunit ribosomal RNA, internal transcribed spacer 1, and 5.8S ribosomal RNA". The record is from RNAcentral.